CCCUUAGAUGUCCGGGGCCGCACGCGCGCUACACUGAAGGAAUCAGCGUGGCUUUCUCCCUGACCCGAAAGGGUUGGGAAACCCGUUGAAUCUCCUUCGUGAUAGGGAUUGGGGCUUGAAAUUGUUCCCCAUGAACGAGGAAUUCCCAGUAAGCACAAGUCAUCAGCUUGUGUUGAUUACGUCCCUGCCCUUUGUACACACCGCCCGUCGCUCCUACCGAUUGAAUGUUCCGGUGAGCUCUUCGGACUGCGCGGUCUGCAGUUUCUGCGUUCCGUGCGGAAAGUUGCGCAAACCUUAACAUUUAGAGGAAGGAGAAGUCGUAACA
This 325-nucleotide ribosomal RNA is filed under the name uncultured eukaryote. RNAcentral's name for it is "partial 18S ribosomal RNA". It matches the Rfam family "Eukaryotic small subunit ribosomal RNA", at positions 1470 to 1796 of the family's 1831-position model. The record is from RNAcentral.